This 497-nucleotide ribosomal RNA is filed under the name uncultured bacterium. RNAcentral's name for it is "partial 16S ribosomal RNA". It matches the Rfam family "Bacterial small subunit ribosomal RNA", at positions 28 to 507 of the family's 1533-position model. The record is from RNAcentral.
GAUGAACGCUGGCGGCGUGCCUAAUACAUGCAAGUCGAGCGAACGGACGAGAAGCUUGCUUCUCUGAUGUUAGCGGCGGACGGGUGAGUAACACGUGGAUAACCUACCUAUAAGACUGGGAUAACUUCGGGAAACCGUAGCUAAUACCGGAUAAUAUUUUGAACCGCAUGGUUCAAAAGUGAAAGACGGUCUUGCUGUCACUUAUAGAUGGAUCCGCGCUGCAUUAGCUAGUUGGUAAGGUAACGGCUUACCAAGGCAACGAUGCAUAGCCGACCUGAGAGGGUGAUCGGCCACACUGGAAUUGAGACACGGUCCAGACUCCUACGGGAGGCAGCAGUAGGGAAUCUUCCGCAAUGGGCGAAAGCCUGACGGAGCAACGCCGCGUGAGUGAUGAAGGUCUUCGGAUCGUAAAACUCUGUUAUUAGGGAAGAACAUAUGUGUAAGUAACUGUGCACAUCUUGACGGUACCUAAUCAGAAAGCCACGGCUAACUACGUG